AACUAUGGACCCCUCCUCUCUUAUCAGCAUGUUUAUGUAAUAUAGCUCAAGUGAGGAAUUCCCGGUGCAUUUCAGAGUUUCCAUCCCAUUAGCGUCACCAUGUCAUCAAGAUUUAAGGAGUGUUGUAGCAGUAGUGACCAAGGUUGAGAGGAGCUAUUCUCCUUUAACUCAUUUGUCAAGUGUUAGAGUUGAUGCUAGUGGAAAGACAGACAUUGAUGAAUAUAGAAUACUCAUAAGUUCUCAAAUCUAAUGUCUUCGGUAG
Dioscorea cayenensis subsp. rotundata (Guinea yam) is the source of this 262-nucleotide long non-coding RNA. RefSeq lists it as uncharacterized. The record is from RefSeq and is a predicted model, not a curated record. Lineage: Eukaryota; Viridiplantae; Streptophyta; Magnoliopsida; Dioscoreales; Dioscoreaceae. The transcript is spliced from 3 exons.